AUUUUAUUCCUGCAGAUAAAAUUGUUGUUGUUUUUUUUCUUUUAUUGUGUGUCAUCAGUUUCCCAGCUUGCCUUGGCUUUGGUAGUGGAGGUGAAUGAGGGAGAAGGGUCUGUCCCAUUGCCCUGUCAGUACUCAGGUUUUAUACCUGAGGACAAUCCCACGGUGCUGUGGACUCGUGAUGAUCUGGAUCCAAAAUCUGUCCACAUACGACGAGAAGGAGGAGACGAUCUUAGAGGACAAAACCAGCUUUACAGCGGACGCACAUCAUUGAAGCCUGAUGCUCUCGACUCGUUAGACUUCAGUCUCACUCUGAGAAAACCAACAAAGGCUGACAGCGGCAACUACACCUGCUCCAUCAGCAAUGGGAGAGAAGAACUCAGACUGAGAAACAUACAGCUGCAGGUCAAAGACCAGCAGGUGGAGGUGGGGGUGGAGGAAGGCUCAGAGUCUGUCCUCCUGCCCUGCAAAACAAAACCUGACCUGCCUGAGGACACAAGAGUGGAGUGGACUCGCUCUGACCUCAUGAUGGUCCGUGUGUAUCCAAACAGAAGCGACCUCCUUAAAAAACAGGACAACCUUUACAGAGAUCGAACAAAGAUGAACAAAGACCUGCUGAGAACUGGAGACCUCAGUCUGACCCUGAAAUACCCCACAGACUGGGACACAGGAGGAUACAUCUGCACCAUCUACAGGGACGAAGACAUCCUGAGACAGAAAGUCGUGCUGCAGGUCAAAGGUCAGCAACAAUUACAUGCUGUAGAUACAUCUGACAUCACUAAGUUGAAAAUUCAUUUUAACAUUUCAGAAUAACCAUGGUGGCUCUUUGAUUGAAAUGUGGGCCUCUUCAUUAAAUUCAUUAUUUUGAUUCAGUCAGAGCUGCAAGGUCAUGCUGUUCAUUGUGUUUGUCCACAGAACAGUUUCCAUUCUGGACUGUAGUUCUCCUGAUUCUCCUGGUUCUCCUGGUGGUUCUUGUGGUUUCUGGAGGUCUUUUAUUUCAUUUCCGGCACUAUUUCAUGUCAGGUGAGUGUCUCCUACUACACUACCCAUGAUGCCGAUGGUUAGCAGGUGUCCUCUGGUGGCUCCUUGACUGUGGCUCACACAAACUUGUUCCAGAAGCUGAAAGAGUUGAGAGUUACAAACAGCUGAUACAGAGAGCUGAAGAGAAACUUCCAGGUUUGUUCCAGAAGUCAGAAAACCUCCUUCAGACUCAGUCAUUGAUCAGUGAAACAGCUCCACAACAUGACUUUACUAAACAGUGUGUGUAAAUAACAAUUAGCUUAUGUUGGUCAUGAGACUAAAGUCAUCUCACUUUUGUAAUGUAAAUAUAAUAUGGCCAAUAUUAUAUUUAUUAUUAGAUUAUUAUGAUUUUUUACAGCAGUGAGCUUGAACUCUGUGACAAAUGAGCUUCAGUAAAGAUUCAAGUUGCAGUUGUUUAUAUUUGCUAUCACCUUAAAUCUCCACUCAAAGACAAGUGUCUUUGACAGUGUAUAUACAGAUGUAUUAUAUAUAAGAGACAAAUAUUGUCCGUCUAAUAUGUUGGCAUUAUUAAAUUUGGCUCAAUGCUUACAUAUAUGUGUAAAAAGGAAAAUGUACGAGCUGUGAUAACUGUUUCUGAUAGAAUGAAGAUCAGACUGAUAUAUUAAAUAUUCCUUUAUUGGGUGAGAAAAUCAGAGCAUGUCAUAACUGCUUUAAGUCAUACAGAAUAGAUAUCAGAGCCUUAAACAGGCCGACUUCUGCUAAAUGGGUCAAACUGGGCAGAAAGUAAACAAACACAUAACAUCCUUAUAGAAUAUGAUGUAACACUAUAGAUCAACUUACCUCAGAAUAUAUAAAGCAUAUAAACAAUUACAGCAAUAUGAUGCAACAAACACAGCAGUACUACUAAUCCAAAAUACUCAAAGCUUCAUAGAACUGAAACAAACAUUUAUUUUUAGCUCCAUUCUGCUGCUGAUACAUACUGUGGCGAGCUCAGACACGGAGGAGACAAGGUUUCUUUGGAGCACAGCCGUUUAUUAGCCUCAGGCCGAAGAACACUGCCACGAGCUAACUGCCAGCGCGGCUAAAAACAGAACAACAACACACAGGGCGCCCUCUGACCCCGGAAGGCCACCUAGUCGCAGCGAGAGGGCGUCACUUGUCACCAAGGCAACAUAAACAAACAUAACUGCAAAACAGAACACAAAUGUCCAUAACAAAUCGCCGAACAGCCCUGGCCCGCUACAAUACUUUAGGUUUCUGAACAUUAAACUUGUUGCUGCCUUUCAUAGUGUGUAACUUGAAGGCCCUGAGUACUUUCUCCCACACUGAAAACACUGGAAUGAUAACAUUAUUUGAACAUUACCUAAUAAGACUGAUUCAGGACAGACAAUUAGUUAUUUUAAACUUUCCUAGCAGUCCUUCACAAACAGGGAACAGUCUGUCUAUUCUCUCCAUCUGUCAGCUGCUGCUGGCUCUUCCUCCUCCUCUUCCUCACACGUGUUUUUUUUUUUUUAUUUUCCUUUCUCUCACCCUCUCUCUCGCACUUUUUUCCCGCUUUACUCCGCACGCCAGCCUUGUGCUUUGCGCUGGGCAGAGGGGGGAGGGGCGGUAGUUACACUCUCAGUAGCACAGGAACAGAGCGGGAGGGAAAGAGAGAAAAAGAGAGCCAGGGACAACAACAAGAGACCACAUUGUCACAUUAGAAAGGUAUAGUAAUCAUCCACAACUAUUUCCAGUUGCGGAUCUGAUUUUUGUUUUGCAUAUUUUAAUUUAUAUUUAAUUGUGUUGUGGUUUGCA
This is a long non-coding RNA of Oreochromis niloticus (Nile tilapia), 2775 nucleotides long. The record is from Ensembl. Lineage: Eukaryota; Metazoa; Chordata; Actinopteri; Cichliformes; Cichlidae.